This 253-nucleotide ribosomal RNA is filed under the name uncultured bacterium. Its description in RNAcentral is "partial 16S ribosomal RNA". It matches the Rfam family "Bacterial small subunit ribosomal RNA", at positions 524 to 776 of the family's 1533-position model. The record is from RNAcentral.
UACGUAGGGUGCGAGCGUUAAUCGGAAUUACUGGGCGUAAAGCGCACGUAGUCGGCUUUGCAAGUCGGGUGUGAAAUCCCCGGGCUCAACCUGGGAACUGCAUCCGAGACUGCAUUGCUAGAGUAUGGGAGAGGGAAGCGGAAUUUCUGGUGUAGCAGUGAAAUGCGUAGAUAUCAGAAGGAACAUCAGUGGCGAAGGCGGCUUCCUGGACCAAUACUGACGAUCAGGUGCGAAAGCGUGGGGAGCAAACAGG